Molecule: non-coding RNA, 1102 nt
Organism: Durio zibethinus
Lineage: Eukaryota; Viridiplantae; Streptophyta; Magnoliopsida; Malvales; Malvaceae
Source: RefSeq, a predicted model, not a curated record
UGACACUUUGUUUUUCCUUUUUACAUUUUCUGGCUAACAAACGCACCAUAACUUAUUGCAUUCCAUUUUGUUGACUUCUUUGUUAACUGCCUUUAACUUAUGUAUCUAUGUAAUAUGUAUGUGUAUGUCGAUUUAAUAACCUUUUGCUAUCUUUUGUAAUAGCCUAGCAAAAUGAAAUUAGUAAUUGAUCCUGACGUUGACGGUAUGGAGUAGGUUUAGGCUUAGUGUCAUUUUUACUCUUUUAUCCAUGAUUUCUUGUGUAAUAGCUGUUGCAGAUUGCAGCAAGACUAAGUGAAAGGUAGUUAGCAAUGGACCGGUUGAACUUGAUUCUGACGUUACAGAACCUCAAUUAGCUUGGCAAAAAUGAAAUUAGCAACAGGCCAAUUGAUAUUGAUGUCAAAGUUGCAGAUUGCAGCUGGACCAAGCAAAAGGAAACUAGCAAUGGAAUAAUUGAACUUGAGCCGGAAGUUACAGAACAUCCAUGUGGGUUGUUAUUGUUAUUGCUAUUUUUCAUUUCAUUUUUUCUUCUUUUGUAUGCCUUUGCAUAAUUUUGUAAUACGAUAUUUGAUCUUGAAUUGGCUUAUGGGUAUAUGUAUUUCCCUUGUAUCAAUCAAUAUAUAUGUGACACUUCUUUUUCAGUGUUUCUUUCCUUCUUAAAUCUUUUAACUUCUGUAUCUAUUUAACAUUUAUAUGUAUAUUUAUUUAAUAACCUUUUUCACUUUUUAGUAGCUUGGCAAAAUGAAAACAGACAAAUUGAUCUUGACUUCGAAGGUAUGGAGUAGGUUUAGGAUUUUCUUAAUUGCUGCAGCCAUUGAUUUGUUGAAAUUUUCAGUUUGUGAUCCUUGUUGGUCUGAAAGGCAGGAUAUAUGGAAUACAAGGAUAUGUGGAAUACUACUUCUGAGUAAGUUUUUUUCUGACUUAGUUUCUUAUCAAGUUAUUAUCAGUUUUUAAUGUAGAUGUUUUCUUGUAUAAUAUUUAUGCUUUUAAUUUUGUCCAAUCACAUAUGUUGUUUUCCUCUCUCUUCACCCUUAAUAAAGAAAAUGGUAAUCUUGUUUAUAUCACUUGGUUAGACUUUUUUUUUUUGUUGGUUGUAUAGCUUUGA